UACGGGGGGGGCAAGCGUUGUUCGGAAUUACUGGGCGUAAAGGGCUCGUAGGCGGCCAACUAAGUCAGACGUGAAAUCCCCAGGCUCAACCUGGGAACUGCGUCUGAUACUGGAUGGCUUGAAUCCGGGAGAGGGAUGCAGAAUUCCAGGUGUAGCGGUGAAAUGCGUAGAUAUCUGGAGGAAUACCGGUGGCGAAGGCGGCAUUCUGGACCGGCAUUGACGCUGAGGAGCGAAAGCCAGGGGAGCAAACGGG
This 253-nucleotide ribosomal RNA is filed under the name uncultured bacterium. RNAcentral's name for it is "partial 16S ribosomal RNA". It matches the Rfam family "Bacterial small subunit ribosomal RNA", at positions 524 to 776 of the family's 1533-position model. The record is from RNAcentral.